CGGAGGAAAAGAAACUAACCAAGGAUUCCCUAUAACGGCGAGUGAAGCGGGAAAAGCUCAAAUUUGAAAUCUGGCAGCCUCAGGUUGUCCGAGUUGUAAUCUAUAGAAACGUUUUCCGCGCCGGCCCAUGUACAAGUCCCUUGGAACAGGGCGUCAUAGAGGGUGAGAAUCCCGUCCUUGACACGGACCACCGGUGCUUUGUGAUACGUUUUCAACGAGUCGAGUUGUUUGGGAAUGCAGCUCAAAAUGGGUGGUAAAUUCCAUCUAAAGCUAAAUAUUGGCGAGAGACCGAUAGCGAACAAGUACCGUGAGGGAAAGAUGAAAAGCACUUUGGAAAGAGAGUUAAACAGUAUGUGAAAUUGUUGAAAGGGAAACGAUUGAAGUCAGUCGUGUCUAUUGGACUCAGCCGGUUCUGCCGGUGUACUUCCUUUAGAUGGGGUCAACAUCAGUUUUGAUCGCUGGAAAAGGGCGGGAGGAAUGUAGCACUCUCGGGUGAACUUAUAGCCUUCCGUCGUAUACAGUGGUUGGGACUGAGGAACGCAGCAUGCCUUUAUGGCCGGGGUUCGCCCACGUACAUGCUUAGGAUGUUGACAUAAUUGCU
RNAcentral lists this ribosomal RNA (601 nucleotides) under Solicoccozyma aeria. Its description in RNAcentral is "eukaryotic LSU rRNA". It matches the Rfam family "Eukaryotic large subunit ribosomal RNA", at positions 51 to 639 of the family's 3401-position model. Lineage: Eukaryota; Fungi; Basidiomycota; Tremellomycetes; Filobasidiales; Piskurozymaceae. The record is from RNAcentral.